Molecule: ribosomal RNA, 610 nt
Filed under: Thouarella cf. viridis 68216
Lineage: Eukaryota; Metazoa; Cnidaria; Anthozoa; Scleralcyonacea; Primnoidae
Also listed under: 1 other name
Description: eukaryotic LSU rRNA
Rfam family: Eukaryotic large subunit ribosomal RNA
Source: RNAcentral
AAGGAGUCUAACAUGUGUGCAAGUGUUCGGGAGUCAAGUCCCAAGCGCGAAAUUAACGUAAAGGUGGGUUUCGGCCCGCUGAGGUAGGAAGCUUCGGCUGCACUAUCGACCGACCAUGAUCCUUCGAGUGAAAGGUUUGAGUGUGAGCAUACAUGUUGGGACCCGAAAGAUGGUGAACUAUGCUUGAGUAGGACGAAGCCAGGGGAAACUCUGGUGGAGGUCCGUAGCGAUUCUAACGUGCAAAUUGAUCGUCGAACUUGAGUAUAGGGGCGAAAGACUAAUCGAACCAUCUAGUAGCUGGUUCCUCCCGAAAUUUCCCUUAGGAUAGCUGCAACCGAACAGUUUUAUCAGGUAAAGCGAAUGAUUAGAGGCCUCAGGGGUGAAAUGCUCUUGACCUAUUCUCAAACUUUAAAUGGGUAAGAGCCCCGAGUUGCUUAAUUGAACUCGGCGGUCGAAUGACGGUUGCUAGUGGGCCAAUCUGGGUAAGCUAGAUUGGCGAUGCGGGAUGCUCCGAACGUUAAGUUAAAGUGCCAAAGUAUCCGCUAACCUAGAUCCCACAAAAGGUGUUGGUUCAUUAAGACAGCAGGACGGUGGCCAUGGAAGUCGGAAC